GAAACGGUAGCUAAUACCGCAUGACCUCGAAAGAGCAAAGUGAGGGAUCUUCGGACCUCACGCCAUCGGAUGUGCCCAGAUGGGAUUAGCUAAGUAGGUGAGGUAAUGGCUCACCUAGGCGACGAUCCCUAGACUGGUCUGUAGAGGAUGACCCAGCCAACACUUGUAACUGAAGACACGUUCCAGACUCCUACGGGAGGCAGCAGUGGGGAAUAUUGCACAAUGGGCGCAAGCCUGAUGCAGCCAUGCCGCGUGUUUGAAGAAGGCCUUAGGGUUGUAAAGCACUUUCAGCGAGGAGGAAGGCAUCAUACUUAAUACGUGUGGUGAUUGACGUUACUCGCAGAAGAAGCACCGGCUAACUCCGUGCCAGCAGCCGCGGUAAUACGGAGGGUGCAAGCGUUAAUCGGAAUUACUGGGCGUAAAGCGCACGCAGGCGGUUUGUUAAGUCAGAUGUGAAAUCCCCGCGCUGAACGUGGGAACUGCAUUUGCAACUGGCAAGCUAGAGUCUUGUAGAGGGGGGUA
This 522-nucleotide ribosomal RNA is filed under the name Rahnella sp. enrichment culture clone SEQ19_Clone9CP1_ANA. Its description in RNAcentral is "bacterial SSU rRNA". It matches the Rfam family "Bacterial small subunit ribosomal RNA", at positions 153 to 663 of the family's 1533-position model. Lineage: Bacteria; Pseudomonadati; Pseudomonadota; Gammaproteobacteria; Enterobacterales; Yersiniaceae. The record is from RNAcentral.